CGCGGCCUAUCAGCUUGUUGGUGAGGUAAUGGCUCACCAAGGCGACGACGGGUAGCCGGCCUGAGAGGGUGACCGGCCACACUGGGACUGAGACACGGCCCAGACUCCUACGGGAGGCAGCAGUGGGGAAUAUUGCACAAUGGGCGAAAGCCUGAUGCAGCAACGCCGCGUGAGGGACGACGGCCUUCGGGUUGUAAACCUCUUUUGGCAGGGAAGAAGCGAAAGUGACGGUACCUGCAGAAAAAGCACCGGCUAACUACGUGCCAGCAGCCGCGGUAAUACGUAGGGUGCAAGCGUUGUCCGGAAUUAUUGGGCGUAAAGAGCUCGUAGGCGGUUUGUCGCGUCUGCUGUGAAAACGCGAGGCUCAACCUCGCGCCUGCAGUGGGUACGGGCAGACUAGAGUGUGGUAGGGGAGAUUGGAAUUCCUGGUGUAGCGGUGGAAUGCGCAGAUAUCAGGAGGAACACCGAUGGCGAAGGCAGAUCUCUGGGCCAUUACUGACGCUGAGGAGCGAAAGCGUGGGGAGCGAACAGGAUUAGAUACCCUGGUAGUCCACGCCGUAAACGUUGGGAACUAGAUGUGGGGUCCAUUCCACGGAUUCCGUGUCGCAGCUAACGCAUUAAGUUCCCCGCCUGGGGAGUACGG
RNAcentral lists this ribosomal RNA (643 nucleotides) under uncultured bacterium. Its description in RNAcentral is "bacterial SSU rRNA". It matches the Rfam family "Bacterial small subunit ribosomal RNA", at positions 232 to 885 of the family's 1533-position model. The record is from RNAcentral.